GAUGAAGAACGCAGCGAAAUGCGAUACGUAAUGUGAAUUGCAGAAUUCAGUGAAUCAUCGAAUCUUUGAACGCACAUUGCACUCUCUGGUAUUCCGGAGAGUAUGCUUGUUUGAGUAUCAGUAAACACCUCAAAUCUCUUGUUUCUUGAGAAUAAGAGAAUUGGACUUGAGCAAUCCCAACUCUUGCAAAAGAGGCGGGUUGCUUGAAAUGCAGGUGCAGCUGGACAUUCUUCUGAGCUAAAAGCAUAUUUAUUUAGUCCCGUAAAACGGAUUAUUACUUUUGCUGCAGCUAACAUAAAGGUUGAAUGGCCAAUAUGGCUGACUGAUGCAGGAUUAACAGAGAAUUUAUUCUUUGUAAACUCGAUCUCAAAUCAAGUAAGACUACCCGCUGAACUUAAGCAUAUCAAUAAGCGGAGGA
RNAcentral lists this unclassified non-coding RNA (418 nucleotides) under soil metagenome. Its description in RNAcentral is "partial contains 5.8S ribosomal RNA, internal transcribed spacer 2, and large subunit ribosomal RNA". The stretch from base 1 to 120 matches the Rfam family "5.8S ribosomal RNA", at positions 35 to 154 of the family's 154-position model. The record is from RNAcentral.